RNAcentral lists this ribosomal RNA (459 nucleotides) under uncultured bacterium. Its description in RNAcentral is "partial 16S ribosomal RNA". It matches the Rfam family "Bacterial small subunit ribosomal RNA", at positions 338 to 795 of the family's 1533-position model. The record is from RNAcentral.
CCUACGGGAGGCAGCAGUGAGGAAUAUUGGUCAAUGGCCGGAAGGCUGAACCAGCCAAGCCGCGUGAAGGACGAAGGUGCCAAGCAUUGUAAACUUCUUUUGUCAGGGGACAAAAACAGGGACGAGUGCCUGACCGAGUGUACUUGAAGAUAAAGCAUCGGCUAACUCCGUGCCAGCAGCCGCGGUAAUACGGAGGAUGCGAGCGUUAUCCGGUUUUAUUGGGUUUAAAGGGUGCGUAGGCGGACUGUGAAGUCAGCGGUAAAAGUCCGGGGCUCAACCUCUUCCCGCCGUUGAAACUGGGUGUCUUGAGAGGGCGAGAAGUACGCGGAAUGCGCAGUGUAGCGGUGAAAUGCUUAGAUAUUGCGCAGAACUCCGAUUGCGAAGGCAGCAUACCGGCGGCGAUCUGACGCUGAUGCACGAAAGCGUGGGUAUCGAACAGGAUUAGAUACCCUGGUAGUC